AAUGUUAAGACACAGCGGCGUACAGUAAAGGAAAUCCAGCAGUGUAUGAGAGGUAAAAACAGUUGGCUUUGCGAGACGACCCAGUUUGGCCACGCAGCUCUUUGUUGCUGAAGUGCUAAUCUCGUCUUAGCGGAACGGAGAGAGGCCCUCAGCUGUGAGGAGUCUGAUCAUCAACCCGCCCGCCAAGGACAGGCCCGCCUCGCACAUCCAGCCGCAGGUCUUCAAGCUGCUGAGUCCAGGUCAGGGUUGCGGGGAGCUGAAGCCCAUCCAGGCAAGCCGGGGACUCGCUCCGGACAGGACGCCACUCCCCGCGGGCUUCGACCUCAUCUUCCUCUUCAGACCUGUGGGGCGCAUGGAGAGAAGGUUGAGUAUGAAGGAGAGCGGAGGUCCUCUGUGUGACUGGGAGGGGUGUGGGAAUGACGACCCUGCACAGGAUAGCUGCCGAAGCUCCUUGGCCCUUGAACCUCCUGAGAGCACAGAUUCCAGGUGAGUUUUGGUUCAGCCCUGGGGAAUAUAUUCCGACUCCCAUGGAGUACAAUUAAACCCGAGGCGGGAAUA
This 558-nucleotide long non-coding RNA is filed under the name Lepisosteus oculatus (spotted gar). RNAcentral's name for it is "lncRNA (ENSLOCG00000023274.1)". The record is from RNAcentral. Lineage: Eukaryota; Metazoa; Chordata; Actinopteri; Semionotiformes; Lepisosteidae.